RNAcentral lists this ribosomal RNA (587 nucleotides) under Salmonella enterica subsp. enterica serovar Heidelberg. RNAcentral's name for it is "bacterial LSU rRNA". It matches the Rfam family "Bacterial large subunit ribosomal RNA", at positions 690 to 1273 of the family's 2925-position model. The record is from RNAcentral. Lineage: Bacteria; Pseudomonadati; Pseudomonadota; Gammaproteobacteria; Enterobacterales; Enterobacteriaceae.
GGGCGUUAAGUUGCAGGGUAUAGACCCGAAACCCGGUGAUCUAGCCAUGGGCAGGUUGAAGGUUGGGUAACACUAACUGGAGGACCGAACCGACUAAUGUUGAAAAAUUAGCGGAUGACCUGUGGCUGGGGGUGAAAGGCCAAUCAAACCGGGAGAUAGCUGGUUCUCCCCGAAAGCUAUUUAGGUAGCGCCUCGUGAAUUCAUCUCCGGGGGUAGAGCACUGUUUCGGCUAGGGGGCCAUCCCGGCUUACCAACCCGAUGCAAACUGCGAAUACCGGAGAAUGUUAUCACGGGAGACACACGGCGGGUGCUAACGUCCGUCGUGAAGAGGGAAACAACCCAGACCGCCAGCUAAGGUCCCAAAGUCAUGGUUAAGUGGGAAACGAUGUGGGAAGGCCCAGACAGCCAGGAUGUUGGCUUAGAAGCAGCCAUCAUUUAAAGAAAGCGUAAUAGCUCACUGGUCGAGUCGGCCUGCGCGGAAGAUGUAACGGGGCUAAACCAUGCACCGAAGCUGCGGCAGCGACGCUGAUGCGUUGUUGGGUAGGGGAGCGUUCUGUAAGCCUGCGAAGGUGGCCUGUGAGGGUUGC